RNAcentral lists this small RNA (411 nucleotides) under Astrosclera willeyana. Its description in RNAcentral is "partial large subunit ribosomal RNA". Lineage: Eukaryota; Metazoa; Porifera; Demospongiae; Agelasida; Astroscleridae. The record is from RNAcentral.
CCAAAGUGGUUCUCGUUCAGGCUCAGGAGUUGUUGGCGUGCAGUGCUGGGAUGCCAGACGCCGUAGGGUGCUGCAACUCGGAUACGGCUGUCGACUGCUUUGCAUUCCUGACGAGAGCCGGCCAACGGCAGUUACCCCUGGCUCAAGAGGGUUGUUGGGAAGGUAGCUUCUCGGUUUACCGGGAAGAACUUACAGCCGGCAACCUGGCAGUCUGGGAGUGACUGAGGAGUGCUGUGACUUUUCACACCCGCAGUACAGGCUCCCUAGGGGGCUGGGUCCCUUCUGUCUGUGUGGGCAACGCCGCAGGGACUGCAUGCAGUGUCUGCGGACGGAUGUGUGCUCAGGUGGGAGGUCGGCCACGUCUUGUGCUGUAGUCGUUGGUACCUGGAUGGCUUCAUUCGACCCGUCUUG